RNAcentral lists this ribosomal RNA (253 nucleotides) under uncultured bacterium. RNAcentral describes it as "partial 16S ribosomal RNA". It matches the Rfam family "Bacterial small subunit ribosomal RNA", at positions 524 to 776 of the family's 1533-position model. The record is from RNAcentral.
UACAGAGGUCCCAAGCGUUGUUCGGAUUCAUUGGGCGUAAAGAGUGCGUAGGCGGCGCGGUAAGUCGGGUGUGAAAUCUCGGAGCUUAACUCCGAAACUGCAUUCGAUACUGCCGUGCUUGAGGACUGGAGAGGAGACUGGAAUUUACGGUGUAGCGGUGAAAUGCGUAGAUAUCGUAAGGAAGACCAGUGGCGAAGGCGGGUCUCUGGACAGUUCCUGACGCUGAGGCACGAAGGCCAGGGGAGCAAACGGG